Molecule: ribosomal RNA, 347 nt
Filed under: uncultured Lactonifactor sp.
Lineage: Bacteria; Bacillati; Bacillota; Clostridia; Eubacteriales; Clostridiaceae
Description: bacterial SSU rRNA
Rfam family: Bacterial small subunit ribosomal RNA
Source: RNAcentral
GACAGGUGGUGCAUGGUUGUCGUCAGCUCGUGUCGUGAGAUGUUGGGUUAAGUCCCGCAACGAGCGCAACCCUUAUCCUUAGUAGCCAGCAGUUCGGCUGGGCACUCUAGGGAGACUGCCAGGGAUAACCUGGAGGAAGGUGGGGAUGACGUCCAAUCAUCAUGCCCCUUAUGAUUUGGGCUACCCACGUGCUACAAUGGCGUAAACAAAGUGAAUCGAGAGUGUGAGCUUAAGCAAAUCCCAAAAAUAACGUCUCAAUUCGGAUUGGAGUCUGCAACUCGACUACAUGAAGCUGGAAUCCCUAGUAAUCCCAGAUCAAAAUGCUGCGGUGAAUACCUUCCCGGGCG